GACGAAGGAUGCAAGCGUUAUCCGGAUUCAUUGGGUUUAAAGGGAGCGUAGGCGGAUUGGUAAGUCAGUGGUGAAAUCCUAUCGCUUAACGAUAGAACUGCCAUUGAUACUGCUGAUCUAGAGUACAGUUGCCGUUGGCGGAAUAUGACAUGUAGUGGUGAAAUACUUAGAUAUGUCAUAGAACACCGAUUGCGAAGGCAGCUAACGAAGCUGUAACUGACGCUGAGGCUCGAAAGUGCGGGGAUCAAACAGG
This 253-nucleotide ribosomal RNA is filed under the name uncultured bacterium. Its description in RNAcentral is "partial 16S ribosomal RNA". It matches the Rfam family "Bacterial small subunit ribosomal RNA", at positions 524 to 776 of the family's 1533-position model. The record is from RNAcentral.